RNAcentral lists this unclassified non-coding RNA (358 nucleotides) under soil metagenome. Its description in RNAcentral is "partial contains 5.8S ribosomal RNA, internal transcribed spacer 2, and large subunit ribosomal RNA". The stretch from base 1 to 120 matches the Rfam family "5.8S ribosomal RNA", at positions 35 to 154 of the family's 154-position model. The record is from RNAcentral.
GAUGAAGAACGCAGCGAAAUGCGAUAAGUAAUGUGAAUUGCAGAAUUCAGUGAAUCAUCGAAUCUUUGAACGCACAUUGCGCCCGUCAGUAUUCUGGCGGGCAUGCCUGUUCGAGCGUCAUUACGCCCCUCAAGUCCCCUGUGGACUUGGUGUUGGGGAUCGGCGAGGCUGGUUUUCCAGCACAGCCGUCCCUUAAAUUAAUUGGCGGUCUCGCCGUGGCCCUCCUCUGCGCAGUAGUAAAACACUCGCAACAGGCGCCCGGCGCGGUCCACUGCCGUAAAACCCCCCAACUUUUUAUAGUUGACCUCGAAUCAGGUAGGACUACCCGCUGAACUUAAGCAUAUCAAUAAGCGGAGGA